This 207-nucleotide ribosomal RNA is filed under the name uncultured bacterium. RNAcentral's name for it is "partial 16S ribosomal RNA". It matches the Rfam family "Bacterial small subunit ribosomal RNA", at positions 568 to 774 of the family's 1533-position model. The record is from RNAcentral.
CGCGUAGGUGGUUUGUUAAGUUGGAUGUGAAAUCCCCGGGCUCAACCUGGGAACUGCAUUCAAAACUGACUGACUAGAGUAUGGUAGAGGGUGGUGGAAUUUCCUGUGUAGCGGUGAAAUGCGUAGAUAUAGGAAGGAACACCAGCGGCGAAGGCGACCACCUGGACUGAUACUGACACUGAGGUGCGAAAGCGUGGGGAGCAAACA